GGCCUAUUAGCUCAGUUGGUUAGAGCGUCGUGCUAAUAACGCGAAGGUCGCAGGAUGGGCCA
RNAcentral lists this transfer RNA (62 nucleotides) under Zingiber officinale. It matches the Rfam family "tRNA". Rfam says of the family: Transfer RNA (tRNA) molecules are approximately 80 nucleotides in length. Their secondary structure includes four short double-helical elements and three loops (D, anti-codon, and T loops). The record is from Rfam by way of RNAcentral. Lineage: Eukaryota; Viridiplantae; Streptophyta; Magnoliopsida; Zingiberales; Zingiberaceae.